Meleagris gallopavo (turkey) is the source of this 6309-nucleotide long non-coding RNA. RefSeq lists it as uncharacterized. The record is from RefSeq and is a predicted model, not a curated record. Lineage: Eukaryota; Metazoa; Chordata; Aves; Galliformes; Phasianidae.
UUGAAACCUUGGAAGCAAAGUUCCUCAUCACAGAACUCCAUGAAAAUGCUUCUCAGCCCCCAGGCAGAGCGGGUGCCUGUGUUCAGCAUGGAGGGACGCGGCUGUCACUGUGCCAGGUGUGACGUGGGGCUGCACCAGAUCGAUGGCACAGAUGCGGGAGAACUCACUAGUCAUGCCAGGUUUAUUUUGAUAUGCACCUAAAUGUUUUGUUGGAUGAAAGGAGACGCAGGGGGCUAUUUUGAAGAGGGGGUGAUGGGCACAUCCCACCACUGAGCCCAGUGAGGGCUAGACCUGCAGAACUGCUUUGCUCUGACUUCGCUCUGAAGCAGCUCUUCUCUGCCCAUUCUGCAUUAAAAUGCAUCAGAUAUAAAUAAAAUCACCCAGACAGGAGAGUUCUUAAAACCAUCCAAAGUCUCUGUUCCGCCCUUGGAGGCAAACAGUUCAGGACCUGCAAGAGCAAGGAUGGUUGGAUUUUCUGAGGGAUAUUUUUGUGUGUUUUGUUGUUGUUGUUCACAAAAGCAGGAGAUGAGCAGGUGAAAGGAAACCUUCAAACCUCAAACCACAGUGAAGCUGUAAGCCUGCAGGCUAGCUUGUGCAGGUGCCCUAAGCACAGGUCUGCCUCUCUGUUGGCUUUGCCCUCAAAUCUCUGGGGUUUGCAAAAUCCCAGAAAAUCCUCCAAAGACGUGAAAGCAAGAAAGCACAAUCCAAAUGGUUUUUCCUUGUGGCUCUGGGUGCCUGGGGAGCAGUUGCAGUAGGGCAGAGCUAGGGAAUUGGCUGCCAGAAGAAUUUGGGAGAUCAGAUACUGUUGCACAAUGGGGUUUUGAGUCAUUCUACAUCCAUGAUGACCCCAAAAUCAUAGAAUCGUGGAGUUUAGAAGAGGUCACUAAGAUCAUCUAGUCCAACCAUCAGCUCAUCACCACCAAAACUUGUCGGUGCUGCGAUCAGCAGAGGUUUUCCCUUCUGCUGUGGUGCUCCUGAGGGCUCUUUGGGCUGUAACUUUUCUGUUGGGAGGGAUGCUUGGACUGGGUUGGUGAAACAGGCACUGGAAAGCAAUGAGGAAACAGAAUUCAUUCCACACCCGUCCCCGUCUCUGGCUCAAGGAAGAAAAUGAUGAGGAGAGAGCUAAUGAACACACGAAAGGAUGCAAGAAGAACUUUAAUUGCCUGUACGGCAGCGCAGGAGGGCAGAGCCAUAAAAAAGAGUGGGAACGACUAAUUUAUGAGUACAAAUUCUAUCUGGAGAGCAUGACUUAAACUUGGGGAGAAAAUCCAUGUGCCUGGAAUAUUAAAAUCAAUAGCUGGAACCUAUCUGCAAAAAAAAAACCAACAAAAACAACAAAAAACUGAGUGGGCAAAGGAGGUGUAGGAGGGACAAUCAAUACAAGAAGGGACAUCGCUGCCAUCCAAGUCAUUAGGAGCUCAAGGGAAAAUGACCUCAAGUACAAGUCAGAGUGAAUGGAUGACACUGCUCAAAUCUCACCAGAAACCAGAAAUAUUUAAGAAAAAUUCCUACAUGGUCCUGAAAAACCUGAACUGGAAUGACGUGAGUUGGAGGGCUUGUGUUGCCAAUUUUGGGAAUUUAUAAGUGUUGUUGUUAACCAAAAUCAGGAGGAUUCUCUGCAGGAUGGUCUUGACAAAUCGCAGCUCUAAAAACCACUUACAGCCAACAUAGAGGGGAUGCCAUUUCCAUCUCAUGUGCAGGGCUUAGACAGAACAAAGCCUGAGCCGAUAGCAGACACUUUUCAACACUGUAAGCCAGGUCACUUGGAGCAUUUUGAAGAGAAAAUGUGUGUGAUAUCUGGCAACUCGUUGUUUAAAAGCACUCUGGCUUUUAGGGCAUCUAGUGAAAUCACAGAGCUCAGAGAGAGAAGGUUAUUCUGGUUAAAGCAGUGACUCGGAGGGGAGGAAAGGGAGGGCUACAUUCACACAAAGGGAAAAUGUGUUAACCAACAGCAAGCAGAAGGCAGGCAGGUGAGACCUCUGCUAGCAGAGCCGAGAGCAGCAGGGAUGUGGUUUUUAGAUAUCACUGGCUGAGUGCAGUUGUCUAGACAGAAUAGUGGACGAUAAAAAGGAAAUACAUAAAAGGCAGACACUAAAUAUUUAAUUCCUCUAAUUUCGGGGGAAAGGCUAAGUAAAUUAGCAAUGUCAUAGAACUAUGAGAAAUACCUCCAGCCUCCAACUCGUGCCCCAAACUCCAAGAGUGCAGCACACCCGAGUGCUGCUGACUUUGUGCCAGCGCAGGAACGUCGCUCGUAAUUAUAAAUCUGAUUAUCUGAUGUUGAUUUUGUGAGAAAUAAUGGAAGAGCUGAUAAGGGACUUGAUUAAUAACAAUUUAAAGAGAAUAAUUAAUUACAAUCAACACGAGUUAAUGGAAAAUAUAUCUUAUUAAAUGAAAUUGAUAUAAUUUUUCAAGAAUGUGAUUAUAGAUUUGAUUGAUUUAGUACAUUUCAUCAACACUGUUACGUUUGACUUCUGCAAGGCAUUUGACUUAAUGUUGUCUCAUUUAUUAGGAAGCUAAAACAAUGUAAAAUCAACACGGCACGCACUAAACGGAUGAAAGCCCCACUGAUAUGUUUAAAUGUACGGCUGCAUGCAGACACUCAUCACAAGUGGCUGUGUUUCAGUUCAUCACUUUUAGCAAAAGGGUAGAAAAUCAAAACUAAUUACAAUCAAAGUUUGCUGAUGAGUUCGAUUUGGAUCAUGAUGGGGCUGGGGAUCAGUCUCCUCCUGAGCCAGAUAGAAGCAAAAACCAUCCAGUUCAACACAUACGCAUACAAAUCCACACUUGGGAACUGGAAUUUCAUGGCAUCUGGGGGGAGGAGAGAUCCUGUAGCACUGGAAGCUCGAACAAAUAGCAGAGUGGAAUACUUCUGGUGUAACAUCUGCUGGGACCCUGCAGCUAUUUCUGGUGCCUGCAACUGAAGAAGGAUGUUGAUGAAUGGGAGAGGGCUCCAAGGAGGCACACAAGAAUGGCUGAAGCGUUGCAAGACAUGCCUUAUAGUGACAGAUUCAAGGACCGCAAUGCGCUUAGCUUAACAAAGAGGAGGUUAAGGGAUGGUUUAAUGACAAUCCAGAUGUGCUCAGACAGACAGAAAUGGAAAGCUCUUCAAUCGAGCAGACAGAGCGAUAAAAAGAGCCAGUGACUGCAAGCUGACACUGCGAAAUUCAGUGGACAGGAGCUGGGACAAGUGCACUUCUUAAAUGGGCAGAAUUAACAUCAGGACAACUUCCCAACAAGUAGUUUCACCAUCUUUCACCAUUUCAAAUUCAUAGAGGAUUUAUUUUUGUUUUGUAUUUUGUAUAUCUCAGAUCCACCAAAGAUCACUCUUUAAAUGAACGCUCAGAGACCCACAAGGCAUGAACAGGAUUCUCCUUCCUUGAUUUCUUAAUGGCCUUAAUUAUGAGUAUUUAAGACAUCAUCCCUGAGCACUAAGUGAGACGGCUCCUUCCUUUUGGAUUGUGAUGAAUCUCAGUGGUGACUCUCACAGACACCUCAGCUUUGCAGAGGAAUGGCUCUGUGGUUCAGGAGCUGCUGGAAUUUCUCCUUUCAUGCAAAUUCCUCACAAAAGCCUUUGGUGCAGACACCUCUUGGGCAUCUCCAGAACUACCUGUUGGCUUCUCCUGGGGCUGGUUUGCAAGACCUGAUGACAUCUUACAGUGCAGCUGGGAACAAACAGGUUUCUUUUCACUUCCCAGGGCUGCAGCUAGCAGAAUGGGAAUGUGCCAGGUGAGCAGUUGAAGCACAACUAGAAAAGAAUAGCUCCUCUGGUGCAAGCAUGGAUUUAGAUGAAAAAUACUGAGUUACUGGAAAUCUAAAUGUAGGCACUGUUUCAAGGUCAGGAGAUUGAGCGUCACCUCACUCAGUGGCGCACUUUCCAAGAGGUAAAGCACUUCUGCUGUCCUGGAUCCAAAGCAAAGUUAAGAGCAGAGCCCAGACACUUGUAUUUAUGUUGUUCUAAGCUGUAUAAUGACCUUAUUUCACAGAGAUUUUAAUUAUUCAUGGUUAAAUACUAUGCAUCCAAAAAAAAUCCCUUAUGCAGGCAGUUGUUGAAGGAGUUGGUGAGGGACUCACAGCAUGGGAGUGGGCACAGAGGGACCUUCUUUCUUCCAAAUGAUAGGCUCUGAGAAAUGCUAUGACACCGCCAGAAGGAAGGAGAAAAAUGCCAUAGAGGAUGUGGGUGCCUUGCCCCUGCUCUAACCUGCAGCCAUGAGAUGUGGAAUAUAUCCAGGAUCACAUCUCUGGAAGGUUAAAUGCAGACAACACAUGGGCUCGGAAAGCUGCAGGCAGCAUGGGGUAUUAGCCAAGGCAGAGCUUUGCUGCAACCUCGUUUUCAUGAUUUAACAUUACGGCUGUAAAUAAUUGAUACUAAUGUAAGUGAGAUAAGAGACAGACUGUCUGUGGGCCAAGAGGAAGUGGAUCCUGGUGACAUCCACCCAAAAAUGUGCUUGCAGAUUUGGCUGAAGUGAAAGCUCUGAAAAGCCAAACGCCCGAUCUGAGAGGCAGGGAAGGGAAGAGAGAUAGGAAAGGCAAGCUAGAUCAGCUCAUAGGACUCCCAUUUUUCUAACUAAUGCUCCCUGUAUUAAUUCCUUAACAAGAGAACAUCAGCAUCACCUAUCGCUGGUUAGUUUGCCAAAGAUUGUUCUUGCACUUGUCCUUAAGACAUGUUCAUGCAUUGUCGGAGGUUGUGAACCUGCGUGGGUAUGGGCAUGGUUUAAAGAACCAGCAUUUUGUAAGAAGGCACAAGGGCAUCCCUCCUCAUCAGGGACACGAGAACCCUAGAGUGCUCGAUACACUUUAUGCCUUUGGCUUUGGUCAUUUACAAAUCAGCUGAGCACCGGGUAGGAGAUAUCCAGCAUCUCAGUCUUUGGAACUGGAGAUGGAUAAUUACCCAUUUGGUUCAGUGAGGACAGAUAUGAGCCAGGCAAUGGAUUCAGCACUAUGGAAACCCACCUGAGUGUGGGGUGAAUGGGCCAUGAUGGGGCUGAAGUUGGAGAUAUCCCUGCUGGGAGCCUCCCGGGGACGUUGAACUGCAGUGGGCUCUAAAUCCCAGUGUUGAUGCUGCUCUUGGCAUUUCCCAUCCCCUGAGCAGCCAGCAUGAUGUCACGCUGGCUUUGAUCCUGCCUGGCACAUAGAAAAAGAGAUAACACCAUCUAAAAAAAAAAAAAAUGGAAAAUGGUGUUGAGCCAUCCUUAAAGCUCUCUGCUAAACUUUCUGCUGCAUCACCACCUUCACACAACCCCUGUGUUUCUCCCCAGCUCAAGGACCUUCCCUUACCCUCAGUGUAAGGUAAGCGUGCCUAAUGGCUUUAAAUUGCAGGAGGAUGCCACAUAGGAUUGCAAGAAAUCUGCAGAGCCGAUUCCUUCAUUGUGAAUGAUUUCCUUGUAGAGGCAGCGGGUCACUCUUAGGGCAGGUAGGUUUGUCGUACGCGCGUCCCAAAGGCCAUGACUACACAUUACUCUGGUGCACAGAUAUGCAGAGCUCUGACGUUGUGUUUUUUUUUUUUCUAAAUACCUCUUAGCCAAGUGAUUUGAGCCAGAAAGCUGGAGGAAAAUUGCCAUUUGGAAAAUGCAUAGAAAGAGCAGCAUUCACUCAUGAGUGACACAGCUGGAGACAGCUAGCGAGACUUUCUCAUCUCUAACAUGAUUUUAUGAUUCAGUGAAUAAUGCAUAUUAGCAUAAUACUAACUAAAAAAAUCCAUACUCAUCAUUUACUAUUAAUUAGUUAUCAACAUUAUCCUAUUAUUAAUUAUUAACAUUUACACUAUCUAUCAGCCCCCAGCUGACUGAUAGCUUAAAAUCUUGCAUAAAGAUUGUUACAACAAUGCUACGUUGCAUCCCAUAACAUACUUUGCAGUCAGCUUGUCAUAUCCCCAUCUAUAAAGCUUUUUACUAAUGCACUUUACAACAGAUCUUAUAGUACACGGAUGAGGAAUGUGGCUGCACCCAGCAAUAAUUCCAUUAAUUAUGAAUAAAGCAUUUACAAAUGACAUCCUUAUUUAAAAACGGUGAUGAACUCAUUUUGUUUUAACAUGGAAGUGCUGUGUUAUUUGUAAUUCUGUAAAAAGCAGUGCUGGCAGCAUGGGAUAGGGAGAGGGGCCCAGAGCUCAUCUUUACAUCAUAAAGGGAAAAAAAAAAACAACAAAAAGAACAGAAAGAAAUUAUUGACAAACAACAAAACUUUAGCAUAAAGCUGACCAAACUCCAACCUGAUGGUUGGAAGGGAUGUUUUAAGGUGCUGUGAAGAGCUAGAAGGCAUUAUUCAGUGACCUUGCAUUGUGAUUGUGUCAAUAAAACUCUCUCCGCAUUACCA